This 203-nucleotide unclassified non-coding RNA is filed under the name Hevea brasiliensis (rubber tree). The record is from RNAcentral. Lineage: Eukaryota; Viridiplantae; Streptophyta; Magnoliopsida; Malpighiales; Euphorbiaceae.
GAACUCAUCAUCAAAAAUAUGCAACUCUUCCAUUUGGGGAAAAAUAUAUCUACUCACAUGGGAUCUAUAAUUUCCAUUAAGGUUGAUAGUAUGAAAUUAACUAUCUCAUAUUUAAAAUUAAUUUCUUGAAAAAUCUAAAACCGAUUUGAUUUGAAAUUAUAAUAUAAACUUUUAUUUUAAUACAUUACAGCCACAAAAAUUAU